AUGUUCCAGCCUAUCAUUUUGCUCAUCCUCAUACUUGUGUUAUUCUCAUCCCUCUCUUACGCCACCAUCUUUAAACUAGUCUUUCUUUUUACUCUUUUCUUUGUUCUGUGAUGUACACCUCCCUUAAUUCACAUCAUCCCUUGUUUGUUUUUGCUCUGUUGUUUUUCUUUCCUCCCCGCAUCAUUUGUUGCCAAGGUAACCAAAAGCACAGGAAAAGCUCAGCACUUGUCGAGGCUGCAGUCACAUUCAAGAGAGUGUGGCUAGAUUCAACACUGGAGUCUACAUUAUGCAUAACACAUCACUGUCCACAUCUGUCCCUCAAGAAGAACGACACUUGCUGUACCAUCUUGCUGUUGUUGCCUCAAGUGUUUCCAAGCCAUCGAUCCUUCCAAUCCUACGUGACCUCUGACAGGAAAGUGAAACUGGAGAAAGGGGAAAUUGGCAUUUAAAGAGGCCUCUGGGUAUUGAGCGGCCUGCGUCAUGGCAGCCAUUGAUCUGGAGCGUGGGCUGGAACACAGAGGCCGGGGCUGGGGACAGGAGAGGCCGGAGCUGAUGGACAACUUCGACUCAGAGAUGCAGGAGUGGGAGGACCAGCUGCAGGACAUCCAGAAGAAAAUCGAAGAGUUGUACAAUGAAGUCCAGGCUCGCAGAGGAGCAAACGAUAUCACUACUGACAACCAGAAAAAUGGCAGCGAGUUGGAGUGCGGCCUAGGUCACCAUGGCAAUGGUCUUUUUGGCGAUGGCAAAGGCCAUCACAGCCAUCACAGCAAGAAUCACCCCGCAGCGAUAACUGUGCCACAUCACUAUAGUAACGGCUGUAACUAUAGCCCCAGUGGGUACAGCUACCCCGUGAGUCAUCAAAAUGGCUACGGUUACUGCCACACCAACUCAGAGAUUGGCGACUUGUUGCAGGAUUACUUGGAGCAAGGGAAGCAAAUGAGCCAGAAGAACAAUGGAGCUCGCCACGUGCGCUUCAGUGACACAAUCAAGGUGAACCCGGAAACGGAGAUCAGAAAAAGUUCUGGAAGAGAAAGGCUUGGUCAAGAGCAGUGUUUGGGCAGUUUUGAGGAGACUGAAAACAGGAAGAACCAAGUGUCUCACAUGAAGAGCUCCCCCCGCAGAGAGAGUUCCCCCAACAAAGAAAACACAGGCGCAAAGCCCCCUCUUGGACAAAGGGAUGCUCCUGCUGUACAACCGCGCUCACAGCUCCCAAUCGCAACAGCUGGUUCGCCUGUUCCGGACAGGAAGUCAUUCAGUCCUGGCGUCCUGGGAGAUAGGAAGUGCGGGAGCCCUUCUGUUCUCAGGAAGUUUGGCGCCAUGCUUCAGGAAAACGAGGGCAAAAUGCUCACCGAAUCCGGGGUGGUAACCCAUCAGGGGCCGGAGCCAAAGUGCCCCACCCCUGGCUGUCAGCGGCGAGCUCUGGGAGCCACUGCAGUCGCCGGCAGGGCGCCCAUGCGCGUGCCUACUCAGAAAUGCCAAGCAGAUUUUGACGUGCUGACAGCAGAGAUAGAGCCCGGCCAAGAAUGGGGGUUAGUAUCAGACUCUGGUAGACAGAACCACAAGGAUCACAGAGGAGCUUACAAAGGGUCCCAGCGGGUACCUCAGCAGUCCCAGAGGAGAUCACAGGUGGCGGGGAGCCCAAAGAUGAGACCCAGAGCUAACAGCGCGGCAGACAGAGAUGGAGGACUGGCUCAAGGGGAGAGAGCAAGACGGCCUGCACCUCAACAUGCAGAGCCCAAAAUGGACUACAUGGUCUCAAGUGCUUCCUCUGGAGCUCAGAAGAUCCAUAGGGGUGGGUUUGUGGGACAGGAGUUGCCAGGUUGUGGCAGAGUGAGGGAUGAAGGACUUAUCGAGCUGCUGGACAUGCUGGAGAUCCAACACGAGUACAGCUCCAGUCCCAGAGUGGGACACACAGCUUACAGACAGGAUCCACAGCAAGUAAACCCAGCCCAGUCGUCCCCUGCCAAUCUUAACAACAGCUUCUCUCGUCCUGCGCGGCCAGCCAACCAGCGACCUCCAUCCAGGUGGGCCGGCCGCACCCCUACUGCCAUCAUCACCAGCCCAUCAGGCCCAAUGUACCGUCCCCCAAGCCCGCUGGCUCGCACCCCUAGCCCCAUGACCAGAACCCCAAGUCCCGCCCUGAAGCACCGGCCUCUCGUUUCCUAUUCUCUUCAGACUGAGACGGUCAUUAUGUGACACCUUUCCAUUUCAAUCAAGCUUGAUCCCUUCCUGCAGGAAAUCCCUCUCUCUCUGUGUAAAUAGUAAGGACUUCUCUGUGAAACAAAGUGCUUUAAGAGAGUUAAAGAAACGCUUAAUUUCAUCUUGAUACCAUGUUCGAGAUAAAAAACACAGCAUUCUCCAGUGUUGCUGUGGCUUUUUGCUUCUUCUGUGCUGAAACACAUCAACAUAUUGCUUAGUUGCAGUCCCCCUCCCCCCCCCCCCCCCCCCCAUCCUAUUUUUUGUAUUGAAUUUCAGGUGUUUUCUGUAUAAUGAGAUUUUGCAUGCAGCCCUAGUUUAAAGGGUGCAUGCUCAUGUGUUUAAUCCUCAUGGUGGCCAGGCUGAAUCAAAUUCAACCUGGCCACCAGCAGGAGUCCCAGCUGUGCUCCCAGCAGCAAUCUGCUUAUUCUCAACAGUGUGUUUUACUGUAUCAUAUUGUUAAAGUAAUAUAUUUAAGAUGUUCAAAUAACAGCUGUGACAAAUGACUAUGAUAUGCCUUUAAUGUAUUUUUUUUUUCUUGGUAAUAAAUAUGACAGUGCUUUGACGUCAAGACUCUU
Long non-coding RNA from Cottoperca gobio, 2774 nucleotides. Ensembl lists it as uncharacterized. NCBI's taxonomy places the organism in Eukaryota, Metazoa, Chordata, Actinopteri, Perciformes, Bovichtidae. The record is from Ensembl.